Dreissena polymorpha is the source of this 2151-nucleotide RNA transcript. RefSeq lists it as uncharacterized. The transcript is spliced from 2 exons. NCBI's taxonomy places the organism in Eukaryota, Metazoa, Mollusca, Bivalvia, Myida, Dreissenidae. The record is from RefSeq and is a predicted model, not a curated record.
UCUGUUUCAUAAUAAAACACUGCCGAGAAUCAAAACAUCAAAAAUAAAUUUUAAAUAAUAUUGAAACAUGUAUAUGUGUUCUAAUUAUGUAAUGAGUUCCCAACUUUUUCUAAUAUUGUCAAAGUGUCGUUCACAUGUGCAAAUUUGAAAAUGCUGGUGAUAACUCAAUAAAGUACAUGUAUUCAUAAUCAACUUAACAAUUGCAUAGUCCCAUCAGGCAAGCAAUCUAGGGACUCACGGCUCUCUUACUUACUCUUCGUUGGCGUAUAUAUAAAUAGAGCCAUCAAGUAAUCUCGAACAGAAAGCAUUCGUAAACGGUAAACACCGGUAAACGUGUUCUUAGUACGGCGUAUGCAUAAACAUGGCGUUUAUAUUGUUGAUGUUAAUGGUACAAUGUUUUGUAGUUGUGUCUGAAACAACGGAGCCUGAAUGUUCUCCUUUAAACUACGAGGAGAAAUUGUUAGAAAAGAUGGUGAGAAAUGGAAUUCAAAAUGGAGCAGGCGUUGAAGCGUAUUGAUGAUUUUGAAGGGCUAAUUCUCAGACAGAACCGCACAAUUCAAGGCGCUAUUGGUACGUUAAAAGACAUUGAAGCAAGACUUGAUUCCAAACUAUCGAUGUCCUUAACUGGAGCAACAUAUAACCGAUGGGGUCGAUCAUCGUGGCCUCAUUCGAACAACAGUCUCGUUUACCAUGGAUUUGCGGCCGGCACUGUAUAUUCUUUCAGCGGAGGAGCCGCUGAUUAUCAGUGUCUACCUGCCGAGCCUUAACUGGAAACUGUUGUAACAAGAGCCGACUAUAUAAGCAACAUAUACGCGUCAGAGUAUGAUACACGCGGAUCAAGAGCCUUGUCUUCAUUGGUAGACCACGAAGUGCCAUGUGUUGUUUGUUUCACGAAUGCUUCAACAACCAUUAUGAUUUCAGUAAAGAAAACGUGUAAAAAUGGAUGGAGACUCGAAUAUCGGGGCUUUAUGAUGACUGAGCGCGACAUUCAUGCUAACAAUAAGCAAUAUAUAUGUGUUGAUUAGAACGCAGAGUCGGCUCCAGGAAGUAGUUCAGCCAAUACUGGUUAUUUAAUUACGCUUUCUCCUUAGAUGGUCAUAUUACAAUCAUUCAUAACGUUUAUUUAUAGAUGUUUGUGUUGUGACAUAUAUGGUUAUGAUUACCAUAUAAGGUAAAGACGGCCAGGGACCAGAGUCGCUCUGCAAUAAUAAUGGCGCUCUGUUUCACCUUGUAUUUCCGACGUGUGGAUCAUUGAAAUGUCCUCCUUUACAACAGCGCAUCAGCACUUGCAUGCGUUGUUUGUUAAAAAAUGUAGGUCACACAAAGAUUAGAUUACAUAACUGAUAAAUGAUUACUUACGUAAACAAUUAUCUGGCUUUGUUGGUGUGUUGGAACAGAAGGAAUCUUUUGUGAGAGAAAAUUACUAUGAGCUGAACAAAAUACCCUUACACAGGUAUUCAUUUGCGAUGUCAUUGUCAAUGAAAUAUAUUUAAUUUAAGCAAACAAAAAGCAUUUCAACCGACAGCACGAAACUACAACUUGUUAAACUAAAUUACGAAUCUUUUAACAAGCCUGUUUCCCUGUUGUCGUUGAGAUUAUUAGCCAUAUAUUUAUGUUUUACCACGCUUCAUAAGCGGUAAUCUAUUCUUAGCUUAUACUAUGCAAUACUGGUACAUAUGCAAUGUCCUCUUCAUUUUUGACAUACACGUUCAUACGUAUUAUUCAUAGUUAUUGAAAUGUUACAUACUCGGAGAACCCGCUGUUGACAACUUGUCAUAAUUUUAUCACUUGAAUGGAUCACUUUCUACAAUUUUUUAAAAUUAUAAUUGUGUUGACAUGGAAUACACAUCAUCCGUGCGAGUGGAUAAUUUGCAAACAAAUAAGGCGUUCCUUUAUGAAAUACAAUUUUAUGUUAUUACUAUAACAUUUCACACAUUUUCUGAAUAACAAAAGUUAUUAAGAUUAUUUAUUUAACAAUUCGCAAUUUCAACAAUAUAAAAGCACUGCUUACAUUGUUCAUUUGGAGAUGAAUGCAUGUUGCAACCUGUUUCAGUGUAAGUUUAGUAAUAUGUUUAAGGGUAUAAGGCUGUGUUGAAUGUUAAUUGAAUACAACUAAAGUCCUAGUUAUACAAUAUUAUAUUUAAAGGUUUA